This 370-nucleotide long non-coding RNA is filed under the name Homo sapiens (human). RNAcentral describes it as "non-protein coding LINC01493:12". The record is from RNAcentral. Lineage: Eukaryota; Metazoa; Chordata; Mammalia; Primates; Hominidae.
UGGAGAACUAACUUGCCUCUGUCAAUCCCAUAUGAUCUCCCUGCCAAGUGCCAGCAUCAAAUGCCAACCAUCCGCUCUACAGUAAGGUAAAUAAGUCAUUUAGUCAGGAACUCUGCACAUUUACCUCUGCAUUUAUCAAAUAUUUGUUGAAGGAAAUAAUAAAAGAAGUGAGGAGGAAGAAGAGGUUUCCUGGGAGAAAGCACUCGAGGAGCAAUAGGUGUCCUCUUUCAUUUCCACUAAAUAUGCUGCUCAAUGCCUUGUGGCAUAACAGAAUCAAAACUUUUCAGAUGCCCUGCCGCUUUAACAAGACCCAGGAUAUGUCAAAAUGGCUCCCACAGAACUUUCAUUUGAUCUUAUCUUUCGCUGUCAC